CGCGUAGGUGGUUCGGUAAGUUGCUGGUGAAAUCCCGGGGCUCAACUCCGGGGCUGCCGGCCAGACUGCCGGACUCGAGCACGGUAGGGGCAGAUGGAAUUCCCGGUGUAGCGGUGGAAUGCGUAGAGAUCGGGAAGAAUACCAGUGGCGAAGGCGUUCUGCUGGGCCGUUGCUGACACUGAGGCGCGACAGCGUGGGGAGCAAACA
RNAcentral lists this ribosomal RNA (207 nucleotides) under uncultured bacterium. RNAcentral describes it as "partial 16S ribosomal RNA". It matches the Rfam family "Bacterial small subunit ribosomal RNA", at positions 568 to 774 of the family's 1533-position model. The record is from RNAcentral.